RNAcentral lists this long non-coding RNA (580 nucleotides) under Pan troglodytes (chimpanzee). RNAcentral's name for it is "lincRNA". The record is from RNAcentral. Lineage: Eukaryota; Metazoa; Chordata; Mammalia; Primates; Hominidae.
GGUGGCUGUCAAUAGAUUGGCCCAAAAGGAAGAACAAGGAAAAGGGCACCAAAGAAGAUAAAUGAAAAUACAAGGGUAUAAGCUGAACUGUGGACAUCCUGCCACUGGGAAUUAAGUUAAAGUAGAAAAAAGCAGAAUGUAAUGGGGAGUCCCCUCACAAGAAGAAUUUGGAUCAAAGCAUGGCAGUGAGGGGAAGCAUUGAGCAGGAAACCAUGAGACCAAAAUUUAAAAGCCAGAGCUUCCUGACUCCAAAAUCCUCUUUCUUUCCUGUUAUCCUGCUGAAGUGCCGAUUUCAAAUGAAGACUGACUUGAUCCUGAACAUAACCUACAAGAAGAAAGGGACCACAGGCUAUACACAAAGCAUGGUGCCGGCAUCUGCUUCUGGUGAGGGCCUCAGGAAGCUUACAAUCAUCAUGGAAGGUGAAGAGGAAGCCAGUGCAUCACAUGGCAAGAGAGGGAGCAAGAGAGAAGGGGACAGUGCCGCACACUUUAAAAAAAAAACCUUAUCUCACGAGGCAGAACUAACUGAGUGAGAGUUCACUCAUCACCAAGGGAAUGGUGCUAAGUCAUUCAUGAGGGA